Molecule: non-coding RNA, 566 nt
Organism: Pantherophis guttatus
Lineage: Eukaryota; Metazoa; Chordata; Lepidosauria; Squamata; Colubridae
Source: RefSeq, a predicted model, not a curated record
AAGACAACAGUUAAGCAUACAGGGCAUUUUGUUAAACAAUAUCUACAAGCCUGCCAUCUACCUGGCUAUAAAACUCUGCUCCCUUCUUGAAGCACACGCCUCCCUCUCUCCCUCAAUAAAACCAGGAGCAACCACACCGCACAGGGGGCGGUGCUCAUCUCCGUUUCAAAGCCGAAGAGCCAGUGCUGUCCAAAGAAGUCUCCGUGGUGAUGUGGCCGGCAUGAUUAAACACCAAAGGCACAUGGAAUGCUGUUCCCACCAAAGAUUUUUUAAAAAAACCCACUUCAUCUGCUGUCUUCUUACGGAAACUCUGCUAAAGAAAUCUGGAUACUAGAUAUAGUACUUAAAAAUAUAAGCCUGCCUUAGUAGAACUGCAACAGGAUUUGUCAUGAGAAUAGGAAACAAGGAAGCUGCAAAUUCAAUAGUAUCUUUGGGAAAAUCCCUUCAAACAUAUGGAAAUAUAUUUUCAUUGCAAAGGCCAGGGUAAUAUAUUACAAAUAUAAUUGUUUUGACAAUGUACCAAAAUUUCAUUUGGAUUGAUAAAGCCAAUUAAAAACGUUCCAAUU